AACGCACAUUGCGCCCGAGGCUUGUCCAAGGGCAUGUCUGCCUGAGCGUCUGUGAAACCUUUUCAACCCUUGCAUGGGUUUACAUGGCUGUCCGUGGACUUGUGCCUGGUCGGCUUCAUAGAAUGUGUUGUGCUGGUUUUCCCCUGGUUAUUUUACCGGUGUUAUCUCUUCUCUGGCACAAUGCUCGGUGUUAAAACCCCAAUAGACCUCAGGUCAGGCAGGACUACCCGCUGAGUUUAA
Molecule: unclassified non-coding RNA, 240 nt
Filed under: uncultured fungus
Lineage: Eukaryota; Fungi
Description: partial contains 5.8S ribosomal RNA, internal transcribed spacer 2, and large subunit ribosomal RNA
Source: RNAcentral